CCUACGGGCGGCAGCAGUGAGGAAUAUUGGUCAAUGGACGAGAGUCUGAACCAGCCAAGUAGCGUGAAGGAUGACGGCCCUAUGGGUUGUAAACUUCUUUUAUAUGGGAAUAAAUUGUUCCACGUGUGGGAUUUUGUAUGUACCAUAUGAAUAAGGAUCGGCUAACUCCGUGCCAGCAGCCGCGGUAAUCCGGAGGAUCCGAGCGUUAUCCGGAUUUAUUGGGUUUAAAGGGAGCGUAGGUGGAUUGUUAAGUCAGUUGUGAAAGUUUGCGGCUCAACCGUAAAAUUGCAGUUGAAACUGGCAGUCUUGAGUACAGUAGAGGUGGGCGGAAUUCGUGGUGUAGCGGUGAAAUGCUUAGAUAUCACGAAGAACUCCGAUUGCGAAGGCAGCUUACUGGACUGCAACUGACACUGAGGCUCGAAAGUGUGGGUAUCAAACAGGAUUAGAUACCCGGGUAGUC
Molecule: ribosomal RNA, 460 nt
Filed under: uncultured bacterium
Lineage: Bacteria
Description: partial 16S ribosomal RNA
Rfam family: Bacterial small subunit ribosomal RNA
Source: RNAcentral